RNAcentral lists this transfer RNA (88 nucleotides) under Phylloglossum drummondii. Its description in RNAcentral is "tRNA-Ser". It matches the Rfam family "tRNA". From Rfam's summary of the family: Transfer RNA (tRNA) molecules are approximately 80 nucleotides in length. Their secondary structure includes four short double-helical elements and three loops (D, anti-codon, and T loops). Further hydrogen bonds mediate the characteristic L-shaped molecular structure. tRNAs have two regions of fundamental functional importance: the anti-codon, which is responsible for specific mRNA codon recognition, and the 3' end, to which the tRNAs corresponding amino acid is attached (by aminoacyl-tRNA synthetases). tRNAs cope with the degeneracy of the genetic code in two manners: having more than one tRNA (with a specific anti-codon) for a particular amino acid; and 'wobble' base-pairing, i.e. permitting non-standard base-pairing at the 3rd anti-codon position. RNAcentral also lists the same sequence under 2 other names. Lineage: Eukaryota; Viridiplantae; Streptophyta; Lycopodiopsida; Lycopodiales; Lycopodiaceae. The record is from RNAcentral.
GGAGGAGUGUCCGAGUGGUCGAAGGGGCACGAUUGGAAAUUGUGUAUGCGCUAAUUCCGCAUCGUGGGUUCAAAUCCUACCUCCUCCG